Molecule: ribosomal RNA, 492 nt
Filed under: uncultured bacterium
Lineage: Bacteria
Description: partial 16S ribosomal RNA
Rfam family: Bacterial small subunit ribosomal RNA
Source: RNAcentral
AGUGAACGCUGGCGGUAGGCCUAACACAUGCAAGUCGAACGGCAGCACAGUAAGAGCUUGCUCUUACGGGUGGCGAGUGGCGGACGGGUGAGGAAUACAUCGGAAUCUACUUUUUCGUGGGGGAUAACGUAGGGAAACUUACGCUAAUACCGCAUACGACCUACGGGUGAAAGCAGGGGAUCUUCGGACCUUGCGCGAUUGAAUGAGCCGAUGUCGGAUUAGCUAGUUGGCGGGGUAAAGGCCCACCAAGGCGACGAUCCGUAGCUGGUCUGAGAGGAUGAUCAGCCACACUGGAACUGAGACACGGUACAGACUCCUACGGGAGGAAGCAGUGGGGAAUAUUGGACAAAGGGCGCAAGCCUGAUCCAGCCAUACCGCGUGGGUGAAGAAGGCCUUCGGGUUGUAAAGCCCUUUUGUUGGGAAAGAAAAGCAGCAGGUUAAUACCCCGCUGUUCUGACGGUACCCAAAGAAUAAGCACCGGCUAACUUCGUG